RNA transcript from Arachis duranensis, 1002 nucleotides. RefSeq lists it as uncharacterized. The transcript is spliced from 4 exons. The record is from RefSeq and is a predicted model, not a curated record. NCBI's taxonomy places the organism in Eukaryota, Viridiplantae, Streptophyta, Magnoliopsida, Fabales, Fabaceae.
UUCAGUUCUUAUUUUUCGUUAUCUCUGGAUUCCUUUGUUGAGAGAGAGAAUCAAAUGGCAAGGUUCAUCGGCAGGACGCUCCUCCGUCAAGCCACCGGCGCCCACUCCCUGAAAGACGGCAGCUCCGCCCCCCGCGUGGCGGUGACUCACCAGCGGCACCGAUCGUCCCAAGCCACGAAAUUGAAACCCCAAUCAUCGAAGAAGGAGAAAGAGGGAGAGGAAUACGAUGUGGCUCUGAAGCUUCUAGACGAUCACAUACACCGGAUUCUGGUGAAGAAGGCAACGCCCGAUUGGCUCCCUUUUCUUCCGGGAUCCUCGUUUUGGGUCCCACCGGCGCCUUCAGCUUCCAACGUCGCAACGUUCGUUCACAAUUUCACCAACCACCUCACCAAUCAGCAUCUUCAGCAGAAGCAGCUUCAGAAGCAGCCUCUUUCCGUCUCCACCAUCCGUGGUUGGCCCUCCUCUCAGCAUUUCUUCGUUCAAGAGAAUGCAUCUCCUCAUGGUGGGGAUACUGGGUUGGAGUUGAAUAGCCCGGAAACCAUGGACAUGUCAGUGCAAGUCAAGGUUCUCACAUUUCCGGAGAACAUAACUCUCUCAGAAGAUGAGGAAGGUUGAUCUCUGAUUCACCUUAGCCCGUUGCUCUGGGACUGAUGAGAUAUGGAAACAGAAACAGCACUUGUCAAGAUGGUCACAACCUGAUCUCAUGGAGAAGGCCAAGAUGGGAGUGAGGGGACUCUGAACUAUUUGAAGAUAGAGAUUGAGAAGCAAGGAUAAUGCAUUCAACUGGGAAAUCGUACAGGUGCUGAGGUGCAGUACUGGUGGUUUGGGAUUAACCUUCUCUACUUAGUCUCAAUGUUUUGUACAUAGUUGGUUAGUGAACAGGUUAAUUAAAUAACCAGUAUAUGUUGAAUAAUUUCAAUGUUGUCACUUUGAACCUAUUUACAUGGGUUAUGUAUGUAUUCAUGAAAGUUGAAAACUAUUAAAGAAAAGUUUUUUUUAACA